RNAcentral lists this ribosomal RNA (253 nucleotides) under uncultured bacterium. RNAcentral describes it as "partial 16S ribosomal RNA". It matches the Rfam family "Bacterial small subunit ribosomal RNA", at positions 524 to 776 of the family's 1533-position model. The record is from RNAcentral.
GACGUAGGGCGCGAGCGUUGUCCGGAUUUAUUGGGCGUAAAGAGCUCGUAGGCGGCUUGUCGCGUCGACUGUGAAAACCCGCGGCUCAACUGCGGGCCUGCAGCCGAUACGGGCAGGCUAGAGUUCGGUAGGGGAGACUGGAAUUCCUGGUGUAGCGGUGGAAUGCGCAGAUAUCAGGAGGAACACCGAUGGCGAAGGCAGGUCUCUGGGCCACUACUGACGCUGAGAAGCGAAAGCAUGGGGAGCGAACCGG